UUAAAGUUUUUUUAGCUUUAAAUUUUUGUUAAACUUUAUUUUAAAUGUAAAUUUUAGUAAUAAUAAUUUUAAAUUUAAAUAAUUAAAGAUUAAAUAAAAAUUUACAGUAAUUAGAUUUAAUAAUUUAGGAAAUUAAGAUUUAGUAAUUGUUUUUAGUAUAAACUAAAUUUGUGCCAGCAGUUGCGGUUAUACAAAUUAUACAAUAAAAAUUUAUUUGGUAUUAGUAAAUUAAAUAUUUGAAUUUAUAUAAGAAUUUAUUAAGUGAAAUUUUAAAUUUUUAUAAAUUUUUAUAAGUUGAUUAAGCUAUUAAAUUUUAUAUAAAACUAGGAUUAGAUACCCUAUUAUAAAAAAGUGAAUUUUAAUACUAAAUUAGUAUCAAUAUUUUGAAAAUUAAAAAUAUUGGCGGUAUUUUAGUCUAUUUAGAGGAACCUGUUCUAUAAAUGAUAUUCCACGAUUUAAUUUACUUAUUUUUUUAGUUUGUAUAUCGCCGUAGGUUGAAUAUUUUAAAUGAAUUUAAAUAUUCAAAAUUUUUAUUUAAAGUAAAUCAGGUCAAGAUAUAAUUUAUAAAUAAGUAGAAAUGGGUUACAAUAUUUCUAUUAUAUAAAUAGAUAUUUUAUUGUAAAUAAAAUUGAAAUUGGAUUUAAAAGUAAUUUUUUAUUAAUUUAAAAAAUGAUUUAAGCUCUAAAAUAUGUACAUAUUGCCCGUCGCUUUCACUUUAAAGUGAAAUAAGUCGUAACAUAGUAGAAGUACUGGAAAGUGUUUCUAGAAAAUC
RNAcentral lists this non-coding RNA (772 nucleotides) under Hylastes ater. Lineage: Eukaryota; Metazoa; Arthropoda; Insecta; Coleoptera; Curculionidae. The record is from RNAcentral.